GCGCAGGGCUGGGCUGUGUUCUCCGGCCUCUCCCGCAGCCCCUCAGCUCGGGCUGCGCUCGCUCUUUGCCAGGUGCAGCCGUGCAGCGCACACGAGAGCAGGAACGCACCCGUGGCCGCUUCCGCAGAACAGCGCAGAUGUUUGCAAAUUCAUGAAGAGGACUCGGGAGGAAGAGAGCAUCAUCAUGGGCACUGUGGUCAGAGCCCAAGACCAAGUGCUGCCCUGCUGGAUAUGCUUGUGCAGGAGGGUCCUUCCACCCCAAAGCAAAGCUGCUUUGGCCAUGUGGAAGAGCAUCAUGUGCUCGCCCAGGACUGCAGAGCCAGCCAUGCUCGUACUCCUCGAUGUGCUGGGGAGCUGGCCAGAGCACAGCACGUGCACCUCCGAUGGGGACCACACGGCUGUCCUUGCCCUGGCUGUGAGUUUCUGCCUUUGCUGGCCCCAAGGCCACCCCUCCAGCAGCUCUCCAUCCUCCCUCCCCCACAGCGUCUCCCUGCCUCAGGUGCUGGGCUGAAACCUGGCCUCGGGACAGCUUCAGGGCCACCAGACCCGGUGCUCCCCCUGCGUCUCUCCGGACCUCUCCCUACUGUGCUUGGGCCCUGCCACACGGACACCUCGGCACUGAGCGCUGUCU
Molecule: non-coding RNA, 631 nt
Organism: Taeniopygia guttata (zebra finch)
Lineage: Eukaryota; Metazoa; Chordata; Aves; Passeriformes; Estrildidae
Source: RefSeq, a predicted model, not a curated record